GUUUGCAACCCUCCCAACUCACACUGCAAAUGCGCACCGGCUGAGUACAGUACAGAUUUCUCACAUAAAUCACAAAGCAAAUGGAUAAAGAGGUCAUCCUCUGCAUGCAGCUCUCAUAACCUGCAGACCGCGCAACAUGA
Thalassophryne amazonica is the source of this 140-nucleotide long non-coding RNA. RefSeq lists it as uncharacterized. The record is from RefSeq and is a predicted model, not a curated record. Lineage: Eukaryota; Metazoa; Chordata; Actinopteri; Batrachoidiformes; Batrachoididae. The transcript has 3 exons.